UACGGAGGAUGCGAGCGUUAUCCGGAUUUAUUGGGUUUAAAGGGUGCGUAGGCGGACUGUCAAGUCAGCGGUAAAAUUGAGAGGCUCAACCUCUUCCCGUCGUUGAAACUGGUGGUCUUGAGUGGAUGAGAAGUACGCGGAAUGCGUGGUGUAGCGGUGAAAUGCAUAGAUAUCACGCAGAACUCCGAUUGCGAAGGCAGCGUACCGGCAUCCAACUGACGCUGAGGCACGAAAGCGUGGGGAUCAAACAGG
This 252-nucleotide ribosomal RNA is filed under the name uncultured bacterium. RNAcentral describes it as "partial 16S ribosomal RNA". It matches the Rfam family "Bacterial small subunit ribosomal RNA", at positions 524 to 776 of the family's 1533-position model. The record is from RNAcentral.